This 332-nucleotide long non-coding RNA is filed under the name Lotus japonicus. RNAcentral describes it as "long non-coding RNA (LJAP_LNC002026)". The record is from RNAcentral. Lineage: Eukaryota; Viridiplantae; Streptophyta; Magnoliopsida; Fabales; Fabaceae.
AGAAACACUGAAGGCUCAGAUGUUCUGAUGGUGUAGAAGACUCUGAAGAUCCAGAAGCUGAAUAGUGGAAACUCUGAAGUCCAGAAGCAAGAAACUCUGAAGGCCAUGUUCUUCCCUCUGAGUUCAGAAUCAGAAGAUACAAUGGUCAGAGGAUCUGUGCUUUCCCUCUGACUCUGAUCAACCGGCUUCACAAGUUCCAAUAUGAAGCAUUCCCCUGAUCAGAAGUCUCCUAGGUUCAAAGGUCGCGUCGCUAUCCAAGUACAAAAGCAACUGUACCUUCCUGACGACCUACCUAACGUUCUCAGCCACAGCAGAAGCUGGAUUUUCCAGAA